Molecule: ribosomal RNA, 2152 nt
Filed under: human oral metagenome
Description: bacterial LSU rRNA
Rfam family: Bacterial large subunit ribosomal RNA
Source: RNAcentral
AAAGGUACUCAAGGGCACUAAAUGGAUGCCUAGACGUAUAUUACCGAUGAAGGACGUGGAAGACUGCGAUAAGCUUCGGGUAGCUGCCAACAAGCUAUGAUCCGGAGAUUUCCGAAUGGGAAAACCUAGCAUGAGGAAAGUCAUGUUGUCCUGCGCUGAAUACAUAGGCGUAGUGAACGGGAACCAUCUGAACUGAAACAUCUUAGUAGGAUGAGGAAAAGAAAGUAAAUAACGAUUCUCGGAGUAGUGGCGAGCGAAACGGGAAGAGCCCAAACCUUAUAAGUUUUUGCCUGUUCGCAGGCAAAUAAGCUGAUAGGCGAAUGCUUACAAGGGGUUGUGAUAUUACACACGACCAAGCCAGAGAACUUGAAUUCGUUCGAGGUAUCUGGUUUGCGACUACUGGCUAUCAACGGUAGGUAAGGUAAGAAAACAGCGUGGUUAGCAGAAUAGUUUGAAUGGCUAGCCAAAGAACGUGAAAGCCGUGUACGUGAAAACGACGCUGACCUUAUAUGUGUUUUAUCGAGUAGGACGGGGCACGAGAAACCCUGUUUGAAUCUGGCUGGACCACCAGCCAAGGCUAAAUAUAAUAUACGAUCGAUAGUGAACAAGUACAGUGAUGGAAAGGUGAAAAGAACCCCGGGAGGGGAGUGAAAUAGAUCCUGAAAUUUAGUGCCUACAAGGAGUCGGAGCCGGCUUGUCCGGUGACGGCGUGCUUUUUGUAGAACGAUCCAGCGAGUUAAUUUCGUGCGCAAGGUUAAGCCAGUUGGCGGAGCCACAGUGAAAGCGAGCCUGAAUAGGGCGAUUAAGUGUACGGGAUUAGACCCGAAACCGGGUGACCUAACCAUGAGCAGGUUGAAGCCACUGUAACAGGUGGUGGAGGACCGAACCAGGAUACGCAGCAAAGUGUUUGGAUGACUUGUGGUUAGCGGUGAAAUGCCAAUCGAACUCGGAGAUAGCUGGUUCUCCUCGAAAUAGCUUUAGGGCUAGCGUCAUGUUAGUAAUGUAUGGGGGUAGAGCUCUGUAAAGGAUUGGGGCGGGCAACUGUACCCACCCUUAACAAACUACGAAUACCAUAUAUGUAAUCAUGGCAGUUAGAACAUCGGUGCUAAGAUCGGUGCUCAAAAGGGAAACAGCCCAGACCAUCAUCUAAGGUCCCUAAAUAUACAUUAAGUGGGAAACAAGGUGAAAUUUCUUAAACAGCGAGGAUGUUGGCUUAGAAGCAGCCAUUCAUUUAAAGAGUGCGUAACAGCUCACUCGUCAAGAGAUUUUGCGUGGAAAAUGUAACGGGGCUAAAUGUAUUACCGAAGAUAUGGAUUAUUACAUUAGUAAUAGUGGUAGAGGAGCGUUCCUAUCAGCAGUGAAGCAGUAUUGAAAAAUAUUGUGGAGCGGUAGGAAGUGAGAAUGCUGGAAUGAGUAACCAUAAGAUAGGUGAGAAUCCUGUCGGCCGUAAGAGCAAGGUUUCCUGAGCUAUGGUAAUCAUCUCAGGGUUAGUCGGGCCUAAGCCGAGGCGCAUAGCGUAGGCGAUGGACAUCAGGUUGAUAUUCCUGAACCGGCGUAGUUUGUACACUGUUCACGGAGAGAUAUUCAGAGCGGAUUCAUGGUUUAUCCGUCCAACCGAGCGGGAACGCAAAGGGAGUGAAAGUUACUCUGCGGAGUGAUGAUUCUGGAAAAGGCUCUGGCUAGAAAAGCAGGUGUACGCGUGGCUAUGUCCGCCCGUACCGCAAACCAACACAGGUGCUCGAGUCGAGUAGACUCAGGCUUACGAGUGAACCUUCGCUAAGGAACUCGGCAAUACAGCGACCGUAACUUCGGAAUAAGGUCUGCCCCCACUUCGGUGGAUAUGUUGUCGGUUUCAAAGCUAGCAGGUGUGGUUGAAGAGUAUCUUUAAUACAUCAAUUCUUCUUGAGAUAGAACCAAUAGCUUUUGGAACUGAAGCUCAACGCAUCUAGCGAUGUGGGGGCCGCAGCAAAAGAGCCCACGGAACUGUUUAUCAAAAACACAGCUCUCUGCUAACACGAAAGUGGAUGUAUAGGGGGUGACUCCUGCCCGGUGCUGGAAGGUUAAGGGGAGUGCUUCACGGUACGAACUGAAGCCCCAGUGAACGGCGGCGGUAACUAUAACCGUCCUAAGGUAGCGAAAUUCCUUGUCAGGU